UACGUAGGUGGCAAGCGUUGUCCGGAUUUACUGGGCGUAAAGAGCGCGCAGGCGGUCGGAUAAGUCGAAUGUGAAAGCCCUCGGCUCAACUGGGGAGGGUCAUUCGAUACUGUUCGACUCGAAGGCAGGAGAGGGAAGUGGAAUUCCCGGUGUAGUGGUGAAAUGCGUAGAUAUCGGGAGGAACACCAGUGGCGAAGGCGACUUCCUGGCCUGUUCUUGACGCUGAGGCGCGAAAGCUAGGGGAGCAAACGGG
Molecule: ribosomal RNA, 253 nt
Filed under: uncultured bacterium
Lineage: Bacteria
Description: partial 16S ribosomal RNA
Rfam family: Bacterial small subunit ribosomal RNA
Source: RNAcentral